AGGUUGAAUGGUUCGGCCUGGAGCUCUCCAUUGUUCCCUGAUGAACUCUUCCGGAAGUUUAUGUUAGUAGUUUGUUUAGGCGUUGUACAUGCGUCCUACAAAACCAGCAGGUUGGCAUCUUAGGGAGGUUUAAUAUUGUGUAUUUAAUAUUGUGUAUUUCCUUCAUUGAACCAGGAUCCAACCUACCUCAAUACAUUGUGGUUUCUAGUGGUGUGUUCCUUACGUUGGCUAAAAUGGGAAGUUUGACUUCUCAGAUCCUGUUUUUGUAGCUGCUGACUGGAUGGGUUCUCUUCUGACUGACUGCCCACAUGGAAUCAAGAUUCCUGGAUCCGAGAAUGAGACUUCUGGGGGAUUCACAGGGCUUCUUGUGGUGAUACCAAGCAACUAACAUCAGGCAGAAGCUACAUCGAUGAAAUUGGGAAGAUGGACAUUCAACAGGGAUGGAGAGAAGAUGGCUACUGGAUGUUCUCUGGACUGGAUCCUGUAUCAGCAGCAGCAGUGGAAGUUCCAUGUUGGAUCUGGCUAUCAUCAAUAUCAUUUAUUAAUAUCAGAAUACAGACCUUUAGACUAAUGUGAGGAGUGUUGUCCAGUGUUCCUCAGCCCCUUCUGGACAGGUACAUAAUGGGACACUUCACAUUUCCUCAGCCCCUUCUGGACAGGUACAUAAUGGGACACUUCACAUUUCCUCAGCCCCUUCUGGACAGGUACAUAAUGGGACCCUUCACAUUUCCUCAGCCCCUUCUGGACAGGUACAUAAUGGGACACUUCACAUUUCCUCAGCCCCUUCUGGACAGGUACAAAAUGGGACACUUCACAUUUCCUCAGCCCCUUCUGGACAGGUACAUAAUGGGACACUUCACGUUUCCUCAGCCCCUUCUGGACAGGUACAUAAUGGGACAGUCCACUUUUCAUCACAUCCUCCAUGGAAAGUUACAGUCCACUUUAACCACCAACACCCCUUGCCCCCAUAAUGUACAUGGGACAGUCUCACAUUUCUUCUGGAAUAAGACAUGACAGUCAUCCACUCCAGUUCACCCAAUGGGAUUCCAACGGAAUGACUUUUAUUCUACUGCACAUGUCUAAAGGACUGCCUUUCUGUUUAAAACAUCUAUGACAUCACACUGAGCUGCUGAUGUACUUAUUGAACAUGAUACAUGUACUUCUAUUUUCUAAUUCACUAUAUUAUGCUUUUAUUGAAACUUGAAGAAUGCUGAACAGAUCCGUUGAAGAUUUCUGAGGGCACUUCAAUAUGCCACUAUUUCAACAACAUAAAAUAAGCCUGUAUAUUGAGACAUGUUUACCUUCUCAUCGUAUCAAAUGUGACAAUAUGACAGUACAUUGCAGCACUUGCCACUUGUCAGGUCGCCAUUGUAAACAAUGAUUUGUCUCACCUGGAUAAUUAAAUGUUAGAUUAAACAAAUAAUGCAUUGUUCCUCGCCAGUUUUGCAAACCAGUUGAAAUCUCUAUACAAACAGCUUCAAUCCAAACAGUAAAUGUUGACAUGUAUUAAUUACUGCUGU
Molecule: long non-coding RNA, 1520 nt
Organism: Oncorhynchus gorbuscha (pink salmon)
Lineage: Eukaryota; Metazoa; Chordata; Actinopteri; Salmoniformes; Salmonidae
Exons: 4
Source: RefSeq, a predicted model, not a curated record